CAGUUGAAACGACUGAUAAUACCGCAUAAGCGCACAGUAUCACAUGAUACAGUGUGAAAAACUACCGGUGGUACAAGAUGGUCCCGCGUCUGAUUAGCUUGUUGGCGGGGUAACGGCCCACCAAGGCGACGAUCAGUAGCCGACCUGAGAGGGUGACCGGCCACAUUGGGACUGAGACACGGCCCAAACUCCUACGGGAGGCAGCAGUGGGGAAGUAUUGCACAAUGGAGGGAAACUCUGAUGCAGCGACGCCGCGUGAGUGAUGAAGUAUUUCGGUAUGUAAAGCUCUAUCAGCAGGGAAGAUAAUGACGGUACCUGAGUAAGAAGCUCCGGCUAAAUACGUGCC
This 346-nucleotide ribosomal RNA is filed under the name uncultured bacterium. Its description in RNAcentral is "bacterial SSU rRNA". It matches the Rfam family "Bacterial small subunit ribosomal RNA", at positions 147 to 509 of the family's 1533-position model. The record is from RNAcentral.